Molecule: ribosomal RNA, 1584 nt
Filed under: bacterium enrichment culture clone E31_A
Lineage: Bacteria
Description: bacterial SSU rRNA
Rfam family: Bacterial small subunit ribosomal RNA
Source: RNAcentral
CAGAGUUUGAUCCUGGCUCAGGACGAACGCUGGCGGCGUGGAUUAGGCAUGCAAGUCGAACGGUAGAUAUUCCUUCGGGGAUAUUGAGAGUGGCGAACGGGUGAGUAACACGUAGGUAAUCUACCCUCAAAUCGGGGACAACCCAGGGNAAACUUGGGCUAAUACCGGAUGAGUGCAGCACCUUAAUUUUCUGGUGAGUAGUGAAUAGUGAACGGUGAAUGAACCGCUUGCUUAUUGCUUGAGAUUGGGAAAUCAAGGUGCUGUAUAAAAGAUGGCUUCGGCUGUCGUUUGAGGAUGAGCCUGCGCUCUAUUAGUUAGUUGGUGGGGUAAUGGCCUACCAAGGCGAUGAUAGAUAGGCGGCCUUAACGGGUGGUCGCCCACACUGGGAUUGAGAUACGGCCCAGACUCCUACGGGAGGCAGCAGUCGAGAAUAGUCUACAAUGGACGGAAGUCUGAUAGUGCGACGCCGCGUGAACGAUGAAUCCCUUCGGGGUGUAAAGUUCUUUUAUAUGUGAGCAAUGCUUUUUAUGUGAAUAGCAUGAGAAGAGAGAUAUUAGCAUAUGAAUAAGCAACGGCUAACUCCGUGCCAGCAGCCGCGGUAACACGGGGGUUGCAAGCGUUGUCCGGAAUUACUAGGCGUAAAGGGCAGGUAGGCGGAUCCAUAAGUUUGAUGUUAAAGGCAGCGGCUCACCCGCUGUAGGGCAUUANAUACUGUGGAUCUGGAAUACGGUUGGGGAAGACAGAAUCCUGGUGUANCGGUGGAAUGCGCAGAGAUCAGGAGGAAUACCAAAGGCGAAGGCAGUCUUCUAAGCCGUUAUUGACGCUAAACUGCGAAGGUGUGGGUAUCAAACAGGAUUAGAUACCCUGGUAGUCCACACAGUAAACGAUAAUCACUAGGUGUCGGGUUCGAAGAGGAUUCGGUGCCGUAGCUAACGCGAUAAGUGAUUCGCCUGGGGAGUACGAUCGCAAGGUUGAAACUCAAAGGAAUUGACGGGGGCCCGCACAAGCGGUGGAGCAUGUGGUUUAAUUCGAUGAUACGCGAGGAACCUUACCUAGGCUCAAAUGCAGGACGAUCGUCCGGGAAACCGGUCUUCUCUUCGGAGCGACCUGCAAGGUGCUGCAUGGUUGUCGUCAGCUCGUGCCGUGAGGUGUCGGGUUAAGUCCCAUAACGAGCGCAACCCCUACCAUUAGUUGCCAUCAGGUUAUGCUGGGCACUCUAAUGGGACUGCCUACGCAAGUAGUGAGGAAGGUGGGGAUGACGUCAAGUCAGCAUGGCCCUUACGCCUAGGGCUACACACGUGCUACAAUGGGUACUACAAUGGGUCGCGAAGCCGCGAGGUGGAGCCAAUCCCUUAAAAGUACCCUCAGUUCGGAUUGGAGUCUGCAACUCGACUCCAUGAAGCUGGAAUUGCUAGUAAUCGCUUAUCAGCACGAAGCGGUGAAUACGUUCCCGGGCCUUGUACACACCGCCCGUCAAGCCAUGGAAGCCGGGGGUACCCAAAGUCAGUGACCCAACUUUUCGAAGAGGGAGCUGCCUAAGGUAAAACUGGUGACUGGGGCUAAGUCGUAANCAAGGUAACCGUA